ACACAUGCAAGUCGAGCGGAGACAGUGAGUAGCUUGCUAUGAGCUGUUUUAGCGGCGGACGGGUGAGUAACGCGUGAGCAACCUUUCCCAGACAGGGGAAUAACACACCGAAAGGUGUACUAAUACCGCAUAAGACCACGGGAUCACAUGGUUCUGAGGUAAAAGAUUUAUCGGUUUGGGGUGGGCUCGCGUCCGAUUAGGUAGUUGGUGAGGUAACGGCCCACCAAGCCGACGAUCGGUAGCCGACCUGAGAGGGUGAUCGGCCACAUUGGGACUGAGACACGGCCCAAACUCCUACGGGAGGCAGCAGUGGGGAAUAUUGGGCAAUGGAGGAAACUCUGACCCAGCAACGCCGCGUGGAGGAAGAAGGUUUUCGGAUCGUAAACUCCUGUCCUUGGAGACGAGUAGAAGACGGUAUCCAAGGAGGAAGCCCCGGCUAACUACGUGCCAGCAGCCGCGGUAAUACGUAGGGGGCAAGCGUUGUCCGGAAUAAUUGGGCGUAAAGGGCGCGUAGGCGGCUCGGUAAGUCUGGAGUGAAAGUCCUGCUUUUAAGGUGGGAAUUGCUUUGGAUACUGUCGGGCUUGAGUGCAGGAGAGGUUAGUGGAAUUCCCAGUGUAGCGGUGAAAUGCGUAGAGAUUGGGAGGAACACCAGUGGCGAAGGCGACUAACUGGACUGUAACUGACGCUGAGGCGCGAAAGUGUGGGGAGCAAACAGGAUUAGAUACCCUGGUAGUCCACACUGUAAACGAUGAAUGCUAGGUGUAGGGGGUAUCGACCCCUUCUGUGCCGCAGUCAACACAAUAAGCAUUCCGCCUGGGG
This 819-nucleotide ribosomal RNA is filed under the name uncultured bacterium. Its description in RNAcentral is "bacterial SSU rRNA". It matches the Rfam family "Bacterial small subunit ribosomal RNA", at positions 51 to 878 of the family's 1533-position model. The record is from RNAcentral.